AAGAGUGAGUGCGGUGCGGUGUGGUGCGGCGCGGUGAGCUGAGCAGUGGUGCGGCUGCGGCGGAAGAUUGAACGGCGUUACGGCGAGGUGAGGGAGAGAGAUUGAGAGCAGUGAGAGAGGGAUUGAGAGCUGUAACUUCAAGUUUGUGAAUUCCAAGUGGUUUCAGAAUUCCAAGUUUGUGAGAAGCUGUAACUUCGCCGUGCUUUUGUUCGCCGUUAGUUUCCUUGUCGGCCCAUGAUAAAAAGGCCAGUAUUUAUUAUAAGCCCAAUCCUC
RNAcentral lists this long non-coding RNA (273 nucleotides) under Trifolium pratense (red clover). RNAcentral's name for it is "long non-coding RNA (TPRA_LNC002270)". Lineage: Eukaryota; Viridiplantae; Streptophyta; Magnoliopsida; Fabales; Fabaceae. The record is from RNAcentral.